RNAcentral lists this long non-coding RNA (219 nucleotides) under Nicotiana benthamiana. Its description in RNAcentral is "long non-coding RNA (NBEN_LNC038230)". The record is from RNAcentral. Lineage: Eukaryota; Viridiplantae; Streptophyta; Magnoliopsida; Solanales; Solanaceae.
UCUAUUCUUACAUAUUCGAAGUCUUUGCUAAAUACUUCAACUAUUGAAACCAAGAAGUUACAAUUGGUCAAAUGAUAUGAAAGGGAUUAAUUACUAGUCUCUUUUGAAAUAGGCCUAUUUUUCUCCAAGUUUUACCAGUGAAUCGGACGGGGAUUCAAGUUUGUCAUUUCAUGAAGUAAAAAUGUGGUUCUUAUCUAUAAACCUUUCGAGGUAUUUUAU